RNAcentral lists this ribosomal RNA (884 nucleotides) under Lachnellula subtilissima. RNAcentral describes it as "LSU rRNA". It matches the Rfam family "Eukaryotic large subunit ribosomal RNA", at positions 73 to 964 of the family's 3401-position model. The record is from RNAcentral. Lineage: Eukaryota; Fungi; Ascomycota; Leotiomycetes; Helotiales; Lachnaceae.
AUUAACCUUCAGUAACGGCGAAGUGAAGCGGUAACAGCUUCAAAUUUGAAAAUCUGGCCCUUUUAGGGUCGAGUUGUAAUUUGUAGAGGCUGCUUUUGGGCGUGGCUCCGGUCUAAGUUCCUUGGAGGAGGACGUCAUAGAGGGUGAGAGUCCCGUAUGUGACUGGUAGCUUUCGCCCGUGUAAAGCUCUUUCGACGAGUCGAGUUGUUUGGGAAUGCAGCUCAAAAUGGGUGGUAAAUUUCAUCUAAAGCUAAAUAUUGGCCAGAGACCGAUAGCGCACAAGUAGAGUGAUCGAAAAGAUGAAAAAGCACUUUGGAAAGAGAGUUAAACAGUACGUGAAAAUUGUUGAAAAGGGAAAGCGCUUGCAACCAGACUCGCAGGCCGUCGAUCAUCUCAGGUUCUCCUGGGUGCACUCGGCGGUCUUCGGGCCAGCAUCGGUUUGGGUGGUGGGAUAAAGGCCUUGGGAAUGUAGCUUCUUUCGGGGAGUGUUAUAGCCCUCGGUGCAAUGCCGCCUACCCGGACCGAGGACCGCGCUUCGGCUAGGAUGCUGGCGUAAUGGUUGUAAGCGACCCGUCUUGAAACACGGACCAAGGAGUCUAACAUCUAUGCGAGUAUUUGGGUGUUAAACCCAUAUGCGUAAUGAAAGUGAACGGAGGUGAGAACCCUUAAGGGUGCAUCAUCGACCGAUCCUGAUGUCUUCGGAUGGAUUUGAGUAAGAGCAUAGCUGUUGGGACCCGAAAGAUGGUGAACUAUGCCUAAAUAGGGUGAAGCCAGAGGAAACUCUGGUGGGAGGCUCGCAGCGGUUCUGACGUGCAAAUCGAUCGUCAAAUUUGGGUAUAGGGGCGAAAGACUAAUCGAACCAUCUAGUAGCUGGGUCCUGCCGA